Long non-coding RNA from Daucus carota subsp. sativus, 797 nucleotides. RefSeq lists it as uncharacterized. The transcript is spliced from 3 exons. The record is from RefSeq and is a predicted model, not a curated record. Lineage: Eukaryota; Viridiplantae; Streptophyta; Magnoliopsida; Apiales; Apiaceae.
AGUAAAUAUCGUAUUUUCAUGUCAUAAACGAUCCAAAGGGGUACCAAUUAUUUGUAAAUAUAAAUAGCCCUUUCUACACCUUAUUUUCAACCGUAAAUCAUUUUCACCAGUUUCUCUGCACGAAUACCGAGAGAAACCGAAGUAUGUUCUUCGUGUUCUUCAUAAUCAAACGAAGAUUUGAAGGUGUUAUUGGAAUCCGAUGGAGGCGUAUGAAUAGUCAAAACGAAGCUAUCGACGUGUAGAUUAUAGUUUAAUCAUUCGUUUGUGUGCAGAUUCAACAGGAUUUGGACGAGACGUGUACGCUCGAAGACGUCAGAAAGUCGGAAUGGUAUUGCAAAGCGAAUAAGGGAUGAUUGAGUAAGCGAAGCGAAGUGGCGAAUAGAGUAUAGCUAGAGAUGGUCUAGAGAUUACGAGAUGCAUAGAUUGGGAAAGUGAAGAGAUGAGAUAGAGAUGUGAGACUGGAGUCAGAUUUAAGAAAGGAUUAAAGAUGAAUGGCUAGACUAUGAUUGCGAGUAAGGCUAAGGCUAGGCGAGGAUUCAGAGUUGAGGAUUCAGUGGUCAAGGAGUAUUCAGGAAGAUUUAUAAAGUUGAUGCUAGCUCGAGUUGUGCUAUUGAGAUUCAGAUGUAAGUCAUAGCUGGAAUAGUUGACAGUGAUUCUUCUUAUCGAAGAUGAUCUGAUUUGGUAAGAGAUGUUGUGUAAUAAUAGUGGUUGAUUCUAAUUUCAAUACUGUAACCUGGAAGCGAUCCUGUUGUUUUGGGGGUGAAGAUGUUCUCUUUUAAAUCUUUUAUUUAACGUCU